RNAcentral lists this ribosomal RNA (442 nucleotides) under uncultured bacterium. Its description in RNAcentral is "partial 16S ribosomal RNA". It matches the Rfam family "Bacterial small subunit ribosomal RNA", at positions 338 to 795 of the family's 1533-position model. The record is from RNAcentral.
CCUACGGGAGGCAGCAGUGGGGGAUAUUGGACAAUGGGCGGAACCCUGAACCAGCGACGCCGCGUGAGUGAAGAAGUAUCUCGGUAUGUUAAGCUCUUUCUGCAGGGAAGAAGAAAUGACGGUGCCUGCGUAAGAAGCCCCGGCUAACUACGUGACAGCAGCCGAGGUCAUACGUAGGGGGCAAGCGUUAUCCGGAAUUAAUGGGUGUAAAGGGAGCGUAGACGGUGAUGUAAGUCUGGAGUGCAAGGCGGGGGCCCAACCCCCGAACUGCUCUGGAAACUAGGUGACUGGAGUGCAGGAGAGGUGAGCGGAAUGCCUAGUGUAGCGGUGAAAUGCGUAGAUAUUAGGCGGAACACCAGUUGCGAAGGCGGCUCACUGGACUGUAACUGACGUUGAGGCUCGAAAGCGUGGGGAGCAAACAGGAUUAGAUACCCGUGUAGUC